RNAcentral lists this ribosomal RNA (429 nucleotides) under Actinomycetes bacterium. RNAcentral describes it as "Actinobacteria bacterium partial 16S ribosomal RNA". It matches the Rfam family "Bacterial small subunit ribosomal RNA", at positions 355 to 776 of the family's 1533-position model. The record is from RNAcentral. Lineage: Bacteria; Bacillati; Actinomycetota; Actinomycetes.
UAGGGAAUCUUCCGCAAUGGGCGAAAGCCUGACGGAGCAACGCCGCGUGAGUGAUGAAGGUCUUCGGAUCGUAAAACUCUGUUAUUAGGGAAGAACAAAUGUGUAAGUAACUAUGCACGUCUUGACGGUACCUAAUCAGAAAGCCACGGCUAACUACAUGCCAGCAGCCGCGGUAAUACGUAGGUGGCAAGCGUUAUCCGGAAUUAUUGGGCGUAAAGCGCGCGUAGGCGGUUUUUUAAGUCUGAUGUGAAAGCCCACGGCUCAACCGUGGAGGGUCAUUGGGAACUGGAAAACUUGAGUGCAGAAGAGGAAAGUGGAAUUCCAUGUGUAGCGGUGAAAUGCGCAGAGAUAUGGAGGAACACCAGUGGCGAAGGCGACUUUCUGGUCUGUAACUGACGCUGAUGUGCGAAAGCGUGGGGAUCAAACAGG